This 876-nucleotide ribosomal RNA is filed under the name uncultured delta proteobacterium. Its description in RNAcentral is "bacterial SSU rRNA". It matches the Rfam family "Bacterial small subunit ribosomal RNA", at positions 9 to 861 of the family's 1533-position model. Lineage: Bacteria; Deltaproteobacteria. The record is from RNAcentral.
GAGUUUGAUCCUGGCUCAGAACGAACGCUGGCGGCGUGCUUAAGACAUGCAAGUCGAACGGUAAGGCCCCUUCGGGGGUACACGAGUGGCGCACGGGUGAGUAACACGUGGGUAAUCUACCUUCGGGUCUGGGACAACUCCGGGAAACUGGAGCUAAUACCAGAUGAGACCACGAGGUCCUCGGACUUCGCGGGAAAAGAUGGCCUCUUCUUGAAAGCUAUCGCCUGUAGAUGAGCCCGCGUCCCAUUAGCUAGUUGGUGAGGUAACGGCUCACCAAGGCGACGAUGGGUAGCUGGUCUGAGAGGACGACCAGCCACACUGGAACUGAGACACGGUCCAGACUCCUACGGGAGGCAGCAGUCGGGAAUUUUGGGCAAUGGGCGAAAGCCUGACCCAGCAACGCCGCGUGAGGGAUGAAGGCCCUCGGGUCGUAAACCUCUGUCGGAAGGGAAGAACGAUCGCAAGGUGAAUAAUCUUGGGGUCUGACGGUACCUUCAAAGGAAGCGCCGGCUAACUCCGUGCCAGCAGCCGCGGUAAUACGGAGGGCGCAAGCGUUGUUCGGAAUCAUUGGGCGUAAAGCGCGUGUAGGUGGCUUGGCAAGUCGGGUGUGAAAUCCCGGGGCUCAACCCCGGAACUGCAUUCGAUACUGCCUCGCUAGAGUCCCGGAGAGGAGGGCGGAAUUCCCGGUGUAGAGGUGAAAUUCGUAGAUAUCGGGAGGAACACCAGUGGCGAAGGCGGCCCUCUGGACGGUGACUGACACUGAGAUGCGAAAGCGUGGGGAGCAAACAGGAUUAGAUACCCUGGUAGUCCACGCUGUAAACGUUGGGUGCUAGGUGUCGCGGGUAUUGACCCCUGCGGUGCCGACGCUAACGCAUU